GUCCAGACUCCUACGGGAGGCAGCAGUGAGGAAUAUUGGUCAAUGGGCGGAAGCCUGAACCAGCCAAGUCGCGUGAGGGAAGAAGGCCCUGCGGGUCGCAGACCUCUUUGGACGGGGAGCAAGGCCGCCGACGUGUCGGCGGAAGGAGAGUACCCGUAGAACAAGCAUCGGCUAACUCCGUGCCAGCAGCCGCGGUAAUACGUAGGUGGCGAGCGUUAUCCGGAAUGAUUGGGCGUAAAGGGUGCGCAGGCGGUCCUGCAAGUCUGGAGUGAAACGCAUGAGCUCAACUCAUGCAUGGCUUUGGAAACUGGAGGACUGGAGAGCAGGAGAGGGCGGUGGAACUCCAUGUGUAGCGGUAAAAUGCGUAGAUAUAUGGAAGAACACCAGUGGCGAAGGCGGCCGCCUGGCCUGUUGCUGACGCUGAGGCACGAAAGCGUGGGGAGCAAAUAGGAUUAGAUACCCUCGUAUAG
RNAcentral lists this ribosomal RNA (470 nucleotides) under uncultured bacterium. RNAcentral describes it as "bacterial SSU rRNA". It matches the Rfam family "Bacterial small subunit ribosomal RNA", at positions 329 to 793 of the family's 1533-position model. The record is from RNAcentral.